GAUGAACGCUAGCGGCAGGCCUAACACAUGCAAGUCGAGGGGCAGCACAGAAACAGCAAUGUUUUGGUGGCGACCGGCGGGCGGGUGCGUAACGCGUAUGCAACCUACCUUUAACAGGGGGAUAACGGAGAGAAAUUUCCACUAAUACCCCAUAACAUCGAUCAAGGCAUCUUGAUUGGUUGAAAACUCCGGUGGUUAAAGAUGGGCAUGCGUUGUAUUAGGUAGUUGGUGAGGUAAUGGCUCACCAAGCCUACGAUACAUAGGGGGACUGAGAGGUUAGCCCCCCACACUGGGACUGAGACACGGACCAGACUCCUACGGGAGGCAGCAGUGAGGAAUAUUGGUCAAUGGGGGCAACCCUGAACCAGCCAUGCCGCGUGCAGGAAGACGGCUCUAUGAGUUGUAAACUGCUUUUAAACAGGGAUAAAGCACAGUAUGUAUACUGUGUUGAAGGUACUGUAAGAAUAAGGAUCGGCUAACUCCGUGCCAGCAGCCGCAGUAA
This 502-nucleotide ribosomal RNA is filed under the name uncultured bacterium. RNAcentral describes it as "partial 16S ribosomal RNA". It matches the Rfam family "Bacterial small subunit ribosomal RNA", at positions 28 to 523 of the family's 1533-position model. The record is from RNAcentral.